RNAcentral lists this unclassified non-coding RNA (245 nucleotides) under uncultured Ignavibacteria bacterium. RNAcentral's name for it is "contains 16S-23S intergenic spacer region". The record is from RNAcentral. Lineage: Bacteria; Pseudomonadati; Ignavibacteriota; Ignavibacteria.
UGGGCUUGAACUGUUAGUGGUCGUUCCCCUUUCAGGGUCCUACCACUAACAGUUCAAGCCCAGGUAAGGUUCUUCGCGUUGCAUCGAAUUAAACCACAUGCUCCACCGCUUGUGCGGGCCCCCGUCAAUUCCUUUGAGUUUCACCCUUGCGGGCGUACUCCCCAGGUGGAAUACUUAACAGGUUACCUACGGCACUGAACCUUACGGUCCAACACCAAGUAUUCAUCGUUUAGGGCGUGGACUAC